GGCUAGCCGUAAACUUUUAUUUACACCCAAUCGCCAGGGAACUACGAGCUAAGCUUAAACCCAAAGGACUUGACGGUACCCCAUAUCCCCCUAGAGGAGCCUGUCCUGUAAUCGAUAAUCCACGUUAAACCUCACCAUUUUUAGUUAAUCAGCCUGUAUACCUCCGUCGUCAGCUUACCACGUGAGCGCCAAUUAGUGAGCUUAAUGUUUUUCACCAAUACGUCAGGUCAAGGUGCAGCAAAUAAAGUGGGAAGAGAUGGGCUACACUCUCUAUUUUAGAAAAACGAAAAACUACCUAUGAAACCUAGUUAGAAGGCGGAUUUAGCAGUAAAAAGGAAUCAGCAUGUCCAUUUUAAUCCGGCACUGGGGUGUGUACACACCGCCCGUCA
RNAcentral lists this ribosomal RNA (389 nucleotides) under Duttaphrynus melanostictus (Asian common toad). RNAcentral describes it as "partial 12S ribosomal RNA". It matches the Rfam family "Bacterial small subunit ribosomal RNA", at positions 794 to 1399 of the family's 1533-position model. The record is from RNAcentral. Lineage: Eukaryota; Metazoa; Chordata; Amphibia; Anura; Bufonidae.